Molecule: long non-coding RNA, 3014 nt
Filed under: Gallus gallus (chicken)
Lineage: Eukaryota; Metazoa; Chordata; Aves; Galliformes; Phasianidae
Source: RNAcentral
UGGAAAAGGAGUAGAGUGAUAUAUGUAUUAUGGUGAACCUAGAGUUUUGUUGUUUUUUAUGACUCAGAUUUAUGCUUACACAUAAAAGCAUUAUGUAUCUAUGAAGAUACAGCAGAACCACAGGCUAACAAAAAUUAGCCUGUAUGGAAUUGACUGCAGGGAUGCUUUUUUUUUUAACAGUCACUGAAUAUUCUUCUAACAAUACCAUUAUAAUCAGAAAGUGCUUUCACGCUUCAUAUUGUCAAAACGUUUUAGCUAACAGACAAACAGAAGAAUAUGUCGUUGUUUUUAUUAGGAUACAAAGAGCAACACAAGAUUUUGUCUGUCAGACAUACUGUCAGAAGGAAAUGCAUAGUAUAUGUAAAAUAUUUAUCAUCAUUUCUUACCUUGUAACUAUGUCUACGCAAACGCCAAAAUAAAUACAGUCUGUUCCAACUAUACAAUGCACAGCGCCUAAAGUGUUUAUUGCCACAUUUUCUAUGACCAGUCUCCUUUCUGUUGUGGUUCUCCAGUGACUGUGUUAUUCCAGGGAAAUGAGUAACACAAGGGAGGGAGGGUGCAUAAUGACUUCUGAGCAGUAGGGGGUUGUCUGAACUAACACACAUGGAUCAUGCUCUGCAUCUCCUCAGUCUGUACUGGAAUACCCUUUUAGGGUGCGUUUUGCAAAAAACGUAUAGAAGGUCAGCUACUCAGAUUUCUAUGGAAGACAGGGCAGUGUGUAUCACAGACACAGCACACCAGUCAGUCCAUAGGUUCUAAGAGCUGAGGGCAAGAAUUUGUCCAAUUUGACCAAAAUGAUAAUGAUUCUAUUCUUAUUUGUGCUAUUAAGUGAGUACUGUUAGCUACAUUUCAUUCUUUUUUUUUCCUAUUCAGUGAACAGGCAAAACAUGGAAUCAUUCUUGUUUUGAAGAGUCUUAGCAUUUUCUGGAAAUAUUAUAUGUUCAUCGGUACAAGAUUUCUGUGUGUGAUGGAACAGGGAAACAAAGAGCGAAGGAACUAAACAUACCUACCACAAACUGAAAUGUUUACUUUGAAGAGAAGACUGCCAAUUUGAUAUUUUAAGUGUGACUCUUGUAGAGGGAAAUGUAAUAUAAUCCAUUAUGGAAAAAAGUUUAAAAACAGGCGAUAUUAGCUGGAAAAUGGAAAAUGUUCUACCAAGGAGAGUUGCUUUGGUGUCAAUGUUCUCUGACAUUUUCUCCCUCUGCAACCUCUGUUAAUCAGCAUCGUGGUUUACAUGACAGAACUCUUGACUUCCCUCUUGGUUGUUGAUUUUCCACUUGUGUACAUUCAAAAUGUUGUCAAUGAUGACAGCUGGUUAUUUCUUCUACACACAGAUUUUUAUUGUCUUAUUUUAUCGUUCGUUCCUUGUGAAAACUGGAUACUUUUUCCCACCCAAAAGACAACAAAGGUUGGAUUGCCCCAGUAAUUGUUCUUUCCUAUGUUUCCUUUGGGCUCUUGUUCAGUUUGUUGGAUCUGAGUUGCUUUAAACAUAAUUAGACCAUUAUAAAUCACUCUGAAUUAGUUCACAUGUGACAUCACCAAGGAGACCCAAUGGGACUAUUAGAACAUGUUUUUGGACAAUCUAUCUGUGUAGCUAUGUUAACUACUUUAUCAUGAAAGUAAAAUUGAUAAAACAGUAGUCUUUUCAGUAUGACAAACCAAAAUAUAUUGUACCAUAUCUAUUUAACUAAUUAGAUUUUCAUAGUGCUAAUAGAAUUUGUCACAAAACUGAUGAACAUUAGCUAAAGAAAGAGCAAUAUAUUUUAUUUUAUUGGGCACAUCUCAGAGUGCUUGUAAUUUAGUAAGGCCACCACACUUUCUGGGCAGGAUAUCAAGUAGGAUGUUGUAAUGAUCUGCAUGACUACUAUAGUAGAUGGAAAAAUGUAGCUUGUGUUUGUAGCUGUUCCAUUAACAUCUUGCAAAGUGUGCACUCCUUUGGUGCUCUUCAGAGAGUCUUGUAAUAAUCCCAAGUAAUUAUACAUUGUUUAAAACGUAGUAUGUAAUUAAAUGAUGAUACAAAAGAAGGACUGAGAGAAGCAGAUAACCAAUAGAAUCCUGAAGUUAUCAAAACAGAUCUCUUGCCAAAGACCUUGGAAUUCAUCUGAUUCAGUUGCUGGAAGAAUGCCUGAAUUAAAAAUUAUUCUAUGAGGACCAAGAAAAUAGAGCCAAAUUCUGGCACUAUACACUUUUCUCCCAAAAUGGACAUUAAUGCUACAAAAACAGAAUAGGGUGAACAGCCCCUGGCCCCAUGCUUGCCCCCCUACUGUAGUUUGUAUCUGCCAAAAGAAGACAGACGAGAAGAUCUAAAACUUGGGGGUGAGGGAAGUUAGAAAAGGAGGGUCAUUAGAAAAGAAAAACUCAUAGUCUGUGCCCCCUGCCAGCUCUGAAACACUUGACUGCAGCUCUAUUUGUAAAGCACCUGUUGGCAGCUGUGGAGUAGUUUAUAGGUUUUCAGACAGAAUGAGGACAGAAAACUUACAGUCCGUGUUCCCUUACGUGACACGUGAUUUGUUCUUGUUUUAAUAAAAUGUAAGUCGUUCCUGGGCAAUAAUUAUGGCAAUAGAUAUAUCUAUUCAGAAAUAAAAACCUCACCUCUAACUUUCUAGAAAAAGAUAUUAAAAAUAUUAAAUCACAUUUUGAAUGAAUUUCAUUAAUAUUUAUAUUAGUUCAUAGGUAUUUGAUGGCUGAUGCCGUGUGUGUUAUCUUCCUUUUUUUGCAGAAAUGAAGUGUUGAGUAGGGUAGAAGGAAAAUAUGGCAAAACAAUAGUCAAAUAUUACCUUGAUAGUUUCAUUCAAACACAGCCAUAAGAGGCUGGGUGUAAGGGGUUGACUGGCCAGUUUUAUCCUUAACAGCAGUGUCUUUAAGGAUUAGUCACAUAUGACAAAGAAGCCAGUGCUAACCUGAACUCCCUUCUUUCACUACUUUCAGUAAGACUUAACGUAUUUAUUUAUGAUGGCAGCCAAAUAUUCCUGGUGAUCUUAAGGCAGAGAACUGAGCAGAAAUGAUGAAUAAAG